GGCCUUGCGGCGUGCUAUACAUGCAAGUCGAGCGGACAGAUGGGAGCUUGCUCCCUGAUGUUAGCGGCGGACGGGUGAGUAACACGUGGGUAACCUGCCUGUAAGACUGGGAUAACUCCGGGAAACCGGGGCUAAUACCGGAUGGUUGUUUGAACCGCAUGGUUCAGACAUAAAAGGUGGCUUCGGCUACCACUUACAGAUGGACCCGCGGCGCAUUAGCUAGUUGGUGAGGUAACGGCUCACCAAGGCGACGAUGCGUAGCCGACCUGAGAGGGUGAUCGGCCACACUGGGACUGAGACACGGCCCAGACUCCUACGGGAGGCAGCAGUAGGGAAUCUUCCGCAAUGGACGAAAGUCUGACGGAGCAACGCCGCGUGAGUGAUGAAGGUUUUCGGAUCGUAAAGCUCUGUUGUUAGGGAAGAACAAGUGCCGUUCAAAUAGGGCGGCACCUUGACGGUACCUAACCAGAAAGCCACGGCUAACUACGUGCCAGCAGCCGCGGUAAUACGUAGGUGGCAAGCGUUGUCCGGAAUUAUUGGGCGUAAAGGGCUCGCAGGCGGUUUCUUAAGUCUGAUGUGAAAGCCCCCGGCUCAACCGGGGAGGGUCAUUGGAAACUGGGGAACUUGAGUGCAGAAGAGGAGAGUGGAAUUCCACGUGUAGCGGUGAAAUGCGUAGAGAUGUGGAGGAACACCAGUGGCGAAGGCGACUCUCUGGUCUGUAACUGACGCUGAGGAGCGAAAGCGUGGGGAGCGAACAGGAUUAGAUACCCUGGUAGUCCACGCCGUAAACGAUGAGUGCU
RNAcentral lists this ribosomal RNA (800 nucleotides) under Bacillus velezensis. RNAcentral's name for it is "bacterial SSU rRNA". It matches the Rfam family "Bacterial small subunit ribosomal RNA", at positions 35 to 817 of the family's 1533-position model. Lineage: Bacteria; Bacillati; Bacillota; Bacilli; Caryophanales; Bacillaceae. The record is from RNAcentral.